GAACGCUGGCGGCGUGCUUAACACAUGCAAGUCGAACGGAAAGGCCCUGCUUGCAGGGUACUCGCGUGGCGAACGGGUGAGUAACACGUGGGUGAUCUGCCCUGCACUUCGGGAUAAGCCUGGGAAACUGGGUCUAAUACCGGAUAGGAGCCAUUUUUAGUGUGAUGGUUGGAAAGUUUUUUCGGUGUAGGAUGAGCUCGCGGCCUAUCAGCUUGUUGGUGGGGUAAUGGCCUACCAAGGCGGCGACGGGUAGCCGGCCUGAGAGGGUGGACGGCCACAUUGGGACUGAGAUACGGCCCAGACUCCUACGGGAGGCAGCAGUGGGGAAUAUUGCACAAGGGGCGCAAGCCUGAUGCAGCGACGCCGCGUGGGGGAUGACGGCCUUCGGGUUGGAAACUCCUUUCGCUAGGGACGAAGCUUUUUGUGACGGUACCUAGAUAAGAAGCACCGGCUAACUACGUG
RNAcentral lists this ribosomal RNA (462 nucleotides) under uncultured bacterium. Its description in RNAcentral is "partial 16S ribosomal RNA". It matches the Rfam family "Bacterial small subunit ribosomal RNA", at positions 31 to 507 of the family's 1533-position model. The record is from RNAcentral.